Molecule: unclassified non-coding RNA, 96 nt
Organism: Propithecus coquereli (Coquerel's sifaka)
Lineage: Eukaryota; Metazoa; Chordata; Mammalia; Primates; Indriidae
Rfam family: Y RNA
About the family: Y RNAs are components of the Ro ribonucleoprotein particle (Ro RNP), in association with Ro60 and La proteins. The Y RNAs and Ro60 and La proteins are well conserved, but the function of the Ro RNP is not known. In humans the RNA component can be one of four small RNAs -- hY1, hY3, hY4 and hY5.
Source: Ensembl
GGCUGGUCCGAUGGUAGUGGGUUAUCAGAACUUAUUAACAUUAGUGCUACUAAAGUUGGUAUUUAACCCCCCGCUGCUAAAUUUCACUGGCUUAAA